Anguilla rostrata (American eel) is the source of this 3513-nucleotide long non-coding RNA. RefSeq lists it as uncharacterized. NCBI's taxonomy places the organism in Eukaryota, Metazoa, Chordata, Actinopteri, Anguilliformes, Anguillidae. The record is from RefSeq and is a predicted model, not a curated record. The transcript is spliced from 5 exons.
UUGAAUUAAUAUCUUGAAGGGACUGUUGAGUUUUUUAUAUUCCAGGGUUAGUGUAUGUUUUUGAUUGGCGGAUGCCCCGACAACAGCCAUUGUGAAGCUGGUGGGUCACCCAGAGGAAGCAGAUAUAUUUGUCACAAUACUGGGAGAUCACCAAAAACCUCUGUAGGCAUAUAGAGUAUGCUUCAUCGCAGACAUAAGUUGUCUGGGCCAAUAAAGAACAUACACUAAAACUGAAAUAGUAUCGAAAAACUCCACAAAAUGAACUAUGGCUUUUUCAUCCUUAUCUGUUUAGUAAAAUUAAACUUGCUCAACUCAAAGUCUAUGUUUCUGAAAUCGUCUUUUGAGAUUUUUAAUGUCUUGACAUACCUUCCCGUAUAUAUUUUCACAGGAACAACAUCGACUAAUACCAAAUGUGGAGACUGUCCUGAUAAAACCUUUUCAAUUGAAUCCUUUUCUGCAUACUGCAAACCACACACAGAUUGCCAGUCCUUGGGACUUCAGGAAAUGACAGCAGGAACAAACACAUCGGAUAGUGAAUGUGGACCAAGAAAUAUUCCUGUUUACAUCAUUAUUGUGUCUGUGCUCCUUGCUUUAGCUGUUAUUUUAGCAAUACUUUUCAUUUUAUGGAAGUUUCUCCCUCUGGUAAGUCUUUGAAUUUUAUUUUUAAUAAACUUGUAAAUGGUUUGAAUAGCAGUUUAAGGUUGGCUGUGCUACCCAUAUUUAGUGAAUUGAAAUCCUUGUAUUUAUACAAUAGAUAUGAGUGGUUAGUAUAUUAAAUAUUUAAUAAUUAAUCGGGCAAUUCAAAAGUAAUGUAAUCAAAAUCAAAUAUUUACCAUGGUAAAUUUUUGAGAAAAAAAAAUUCACAUUCAGUACUGCAUUGGUUGAUUGGUUUUAUUCAAUGUUAAAGGAUUAAACAAGAAAAUAAUAAAGGAAAGGUAAUGUAAUGUUACAUUUUUAAGUUAUUCAGAACAAUUUUAUAUGUUGUUAUCAAGUAAUUAAAUAAUGAACCAUUAUUUUGCUUUCAGAGAGGAAGAAGAGAAAGAAGAACAUGCCGACAGAUCCGGCAGAAGGAGAAAGAAUGACCAGCACAGGCCAGCCACAGGAUGAAGUAUCUAUUAGGUGAAGAACACUGCUGGCAGUUGACUUCAUAUGACAGACUUACUCUAAGGGAAGAUAUAUGUCAAUUCAGGAUGGACAACAGAGAACUCUUGUUUUGAGCUGAAAGUUAUACUGCCCCAGAGUGGCAGCCAACGAUGGAGCACCCUCCUCCAGAUGCAGUUGGUUCAGCUCCUACUCCAUACCUGUUACCUGCCUGGCAUUAUCACCCAUUGGCCUUCCAACUCGUCUCUCCUCAUGAACAGAGUUAUCCUUGCCCAGCUUCAGUUUUAUCUUGUGAUUGACAUUUAUGCACUGUUUAUGUACAUUUAUCUGUUUUUAUACCUGCACUAUACAAAUAAAAUUGAACUGAGUUCAUUGGAGCAAAAAGACAAAAGUUGGUGUCAUUAACUCUUAUUAUCCAUGACGUCUUAUUAUCAAUUCACAUAUCUUUUUAAGAGAAUAUCUUUUUAUUGUCAAUUCACAAAUCUUUUUAAUUUAACCUUAUCUAAUUGGUGAAUGGGCUUAUUAAAUAUACAACCAUUUGCUGGCUAGUCAAUAAUAGCUGAAUACCAGCAUACUUGUGCACAUUAGUAUAUCUGACCAUUAAAUUCACAUUUCAUUAUAUUAAAAAAACAUUGGGAAAGAAUUACAACGCAAAAUACACCUAUAUAACAGGUUACCAACAACUGUAACUGUUUUAUAUAUCCUCUCAAACAUAUGUUCCCAGGGUCCUACAGACGGGUACACACCGCUUAUCUCAUCAUGUGUGUGAUGGUCGCGGAACCUCUUGUUUUUCAUUUCGGCGCCCAUGUUAACAAGUUAGAGCAGCCACACAGCCUGCGUGAGACACGCAUCUGAGGCGCGGCUCGAGCCUCGCUGCAGCGGCGCGUCAUCUAGAGUUUCUGUGUGGAGCCUAUUUUUCACGCGUGAGGUGCGCGGUUCUCAGCAAAAAUAGACAGUGAAAAGAUCUGUUGAUAGUCAUAUUGACAUCACAAUGACAUCACACCAGUGACUAUGGGGGUAUUACUGUCUAAAGAAAUAAAGAAAUAAACGUAACUGAUCCACAAAUAAAUGUAGCUGACCCACAAAUAAAUGUAGCUCUCAAUAAAUGUAGCUCUCAAUAAAUGUAGAGGCUUUGCCUUUUGGCUCAGCUCCUUCACCACCACCAUCUGAUAGAAAGCUUGCAUUACUGCGGCUGCUGUACCUAGAUGGCAGUCAAUCUCCCGAUACCUUUCACUUCACUCAUAAACAAGACCUCAAGAUACUUGAACUCCUCCACCUGAGGUAGUUGCUCCCCCUCACUUGAAGGGGACAAGCCAUGUUUUUCCAGGAGAGGAUCAUGGCCACAGUCUUGGAGGUGCUGAUCCUCAUCCCAGCAGCAUCACACAUUUGCCACACCUGAUUCUACUAAUUAGCGGCUCAACGAGAUCUCUAGCUAUUGAAUGAGGUGUGCUUUGGUAGGGUUGGAGUGAAAACCUACAAUGCAGUAAAUCUCCAGGACCAGGUUUGGGCAGCCCUGACGUAAAGCAAUUUUCUUGAUGCAAUAUUCAAAUUUCUUUUGUUUUUAUAUGAUAUAAUAUACAGCCCUGCAAGGACUAUACUCUGUCGUCCUCAGACAAGCCCUCCAGCGGCGUUUCCAGUCAUCUCGAUCCUCCAUGCAUCUGGCUGACUUUCCGGCCCUGCAUCUUCCUUUAGUACGUCCACGUACGUUGUUGUGGGAUGCCCUCGUGAUCAAUGCCCGUGUUUUGGCUCCCACAGCACCAGUUUGCUGGCUGGGAGCUCCCGGUGUCUCUGGCAGUGACCGGCCAGACUCAUUCUCCUGGAUGCUAUUUUCUCACUCACCCUUGGUAACCCCCCAUACAGAUCCUUGAUGGUAAUAUGUUCAUUCUUCAAAAUAUUACCAAGUGUGUGGAUUUCCACACACUUUCCAUGCCGUUCAGAGCUUUCCAUGUGAGCGCCUUCCUCACUUUAAGGUCUUGCUCUGACGAGUUGACGAUCGGAUCAUCAGCACGUACUCUCCUGUGCUCCUGGACUCCCAGGAUCUCCACUCCCCUUUCUUCGGCACAGUGUGCAAGCUCCGCCAACCUCACUUCUUCUCUCACUGUGUUUGCAUUGAAGGUUCCCAUAAUAAAUGGUCUCCAACAACACACGAGUGCAUUAGACCGUGUGCUGUAGUCAGACUGAACCCUAUCUUUCGGCUUUGGGGUCCCAUUGUCAUGCUGUCCACCAGGGGGAGGACCAGCACCACCAUCUGCUGCGUGAUUCCCGUGGACUCCGGCCACUGGCAGUAUAGGAUUCUCAAUAACUGGACUCUCCAUUGUUAGGCUUUACAAUGCUAUUUGAGGGCUGUGGGGUGCUGUGGGGGUAUAAAUAUGAAGACUUCUGUUCACAUUAAAAACUACUGUUUAAACAGCA